Molecule: ribosomal RNA, 276 nt
Filed under: Triticum aestivum (bread wheat)
Lineage: Eukaryota; Viridiplantae; Streptophyta; Magnoliopsida; Poales; Poaceae
Description: partial small subunit ribosomal RNA
Source: RNAcentral
AUGUGUGUACCGAAAGAAAAAGGUGGAAUGGGGUUUAGAGAUAUCCAUGCUUUUAAUCGAGCACUUCUUGCAAAACAAUGCUGGAGGUUGGUUGAAAACUAUGACUCGCUAUGUGCAAGAGUGUUGCGUGCUCGCUACUAUCCCACGGGCGAUAUUCUAAACUGCACUUUGAAGAAGGGUUCUUCUUUUGUAUGGCAGAGCAUAUAUGCAGGCAUACAAACCUUCAAGAAAGGAAGUAUUUGGAGAGUUGGGGACGGCACAAAGAUUGAUAUCUAG